RNAcentral lists this ribosomal RNA (446 nucleotides) under uncultured bacterium. RNAcentral describes it as "bacterial SSU rRNA". It matches the Rfam family "Bacterial small subunit ribosomal RNA", at positions 331 to 792 of the family's 1533-position model. The record is from RNAcentral.
CCAGACUCCUACGGGAGGCAGCAGUGGGGAAUAUUGGGCAAUGGACGCAAGUCUGACCCAGCAACGCCGCGUGAAGGAAGAAGGCUUUCGGGUUGUAAACUUCUUUUAAGGGGGAAGAGCAGAAGACGGUACCCCUUGAAUAAGCCCCGGCUAACUACGUGCCAGCAGCCGCGGUAAUACGUAGGGGGCAAGCGUUAUCCGGAUUUACUGGGUGUAAAGGGAGCGUAGGCGGUGCAGCAAGUCAGAAGUGAAAGCCCGGGGCUCAACCUUGGGACUGCUUUUGAAACUGAGUAGCUAGAGUGCAGGAGAGGUAAGCGGAAUUCCUAGUGUAGCGGUGAAAUGCGUAGAUAUUAGGAGGAACACCAGUGGCGAAGGCGGCUUACUGGACUGUAACUGACGUUGAGGCUCGAAAGCGUGGGGAGCAAACAGGAUUAGAUACCCCUGUA